CCCUAGGAUUUAACCCCCAAUCACAUAGCUCCUUACAAGGCCAACCUGCAAAAUCCUAGUUCAGACCUAACCCCCACCCCCAUACCACUCGGGAUCUCUCCAAACCAAGCAGGCAAAAAAUACAAUGUUUACAUCCCCAAAAGAAGUAAUUUUGAACAUAUCAAAGUGUAGAAAAAGGAAAAACAUGCUGUCACUUUGCCUUCU
This 204-nucleotide long non-coding RNA is filed under the name Oryza brachyantha (malo sina). RNAcentral's name for it is "long non-coding RNA (OBRA_LNC003373)". Lineage: Eukaryota; Viridiplantae; Streptophyta; Magnoliopsida; Poales; Poaceae. The record is from RNAcentral.